AAACUCAUGGAUAAGAGGGGGAGGGGAUUUCAAUAAAGAUCAAAUAUAUAUAGAAAGAGGAGGUACAGUAAAUGCACCCCAUAUACAGCUCAACAUAAGCCCUUUGCUUGGUCUGUAUUGUGAAUUGGGGGACAAAA
Suncus etruscus (white-toothed pygmy shrew) is the source of this 137-nucleotide small nucleolar RNA. RefSeq annotates it as small nucleolar RNA SNORA51. Lineage: Eukaryota; Metazoa; Chordata; Mammalia; Eulipotyphla; Soricidae. The transcript has a single exon. The record is from RefSeq and is a predicted model, not a curated record.